RNAcentral lists this ribosomal RNA (427 nucleotides) under uncultured bacterium. Its description in RNAcentral is "partial 16S ribosomal RNA". It matches the Rfam family "Bacterial small subunit ribosomal RNA", at positions 355 to 774 of the family's 1533-position model. The record is from RNAcentral.
UGGGGAAUAUUGCACAAUGGGCGCAAGCCUGAUGCAGCCAUGCCGCGUGUAUGAAGAAGGCCUUCGGGUUGUAAAGUACUUUCAGCGGGGAUGAAGGGAGUAAAGUUAAUACCUUUGCUCAUUGACGUUACCCGCAGAAGAAGCACCGGCUAACUCCGUGCCAGCAGCCGCGGUAAUACGGAGGGUGCAAGCGUUAAUCGGAAUUACUGGGCGUAAAGCGCACGCGGGCGGUUUGUUAAGUCAGAUGUGAAAUCCCCGGGCUCAACCUGGGAACUGCAUCUGAUACUGGCAAGCUUGAGUCUCGUAGAGGGGGGUAGAAUUCCAGGUGUAGCGGUGAAAUGCGUAGAGAUCUGGAGGAAUACCGGUGGCGAAGGCGGCCCCCUGGACGAAGACUGACGCUCAGGUGCGAAAGCGUGGGGAGCAAACA